RNAcentral lists this transfer RNA (73 nucleotides) under Candidatus Diapherotrites archaeon CG09_land_8_20_14_0_10_32_12. RNAcentral describes it as "tRNA-Arg". It matches the Rfam family "tRNA". From Rfam's summary of the family: Transfer RNA (tRNA) molecules are approximately 80 nucleotides in length. Their secondary structure includes four short double-helical elements and three loops (D, anti-codon, and T loops). Lineage: Archaea; Nanobdellati; Candidatus Iainarchaeota. The record is from RNAcentral.
GGACUUGUGAGGUAAUUGGAUAACCUGGCGGGCUUCGGACCCGCCUAUCGGGGUUCGAGUCCCUGCAAGUCCA